GAUGAACGCUGGCGGCGUGCCUAAUACAUGCAAGUCGAGCGAACAGACGAGGAUCUUGCGCCUCUGACGUUAGCGGCGGACGUGUGAAUAACACGUGUAUAACCUACCUAUAAUAGUGGUAUAACUUCGGGAAACCGGAUCUAAUACCGUAUGAUAUCUUGAACCGCAGGGGUCGAUGGUGAGAGACGGUGUUGCGGUCUCUUAUAGCUGGUUCCGGGCCGCAUUAGAUAGUUGUUAAGUUAACGGCUUACCAAGGCGACGAUGCGUAGCCGACCUGAGAGGCUGAUAGGCCACCUUGGAACUGAGACACGGUCAAGACUACUACGGGAGGCCGCAGUAGGGAACCGUACGCAACGGGCGAAAGCCUGACGGAGCAAGGCCGAGUGAGUGAUGAAGGUCUUCGGAGCGUAAAACCCUGUUACUAGGGAAGAACAAAUGUGUAAGUAACUAUGGACGUAUUGACGGUACCUAAUCAGAAAGCCCCGGCUAACUACGUG
Molecule: ribosomal RNA, 497 nt
Filed under: uncultured bacterium
Lineage: Bacteria
Description: partial 16S ribosomal RNA
Rfam family: Bacterial small subunit ribosomal RNA
Source: RNAcentral